AGUGAACGCUGGCGGUAGGCCUAACACAUGCAAGUCGAACGGCAGCACAGUAAGAGCUUGCUCUUACGGGUGGCGAGUGGCGGACGGGUGAGGAAUACAUCGGAAUCUACUUUUUCGUGGGGGAUAACGUAGGGAAACUUACGCUAAUACCGCAUACGACCUACGGGUGAAAGCAGGGGAUCUUCGGACCUUGCGCGAUUGAAUGAGCCGAUGUCGGAUUAGCUAGUUGGCGGGGUAAAGGCCCACCAAGGCGACGAUCCGUAGCUGGUCUGAGAGGAUGAUCAGCCACACUGGAACUGAGACACGGUCCAGACUCCUACGGGAGGCAGCAGUGGGGAAUAUUGGACAAUGGGCGGAAGCCUGAUCCAGCCAUACCGCGUGGGUGAAGAAGGCCUUCGGGUUGUAAAGCCCUUUUGUUGGGAAAGAAAAGCAGCGGGUUAAUACCCCGCUGUUCUGACGGUACCCAAAGAAUAAGCACCGGCUAACUUCGUG
RNAcentral lists this ribosomal RNA (492 nucleotides) under uncultured bacterium. RNAcentral's name for it is "partial 16S ribosomal RNA". It matches the Rfam family "Bacterial small subunit ribosomal RNA", at positions 29 to 507 of the family's 1533-position model. The record is from RNAcentral.